RNAcentral lists this ribosomal RNA (449 nucleotides) under uncultured bacterium. RNAcentral's name for it is "bacterial SSU rRNA". It matches the Rfam family "Bacterial small subunit ribosomal RNA", at positions 29 to 521 of the family's 1533-position model. The record is from RNAcentral.
AGCGAACGCUGGCGGCAGGCCUAACACAUGCAAGUCGAGCGCCCGUAGCAAUACGGGAGCGGCAGACGGGAUAGUAACACGUGGGAACGUACCCUUCAGUUCGGAACAACCCAGGGAAACUUGGGCUAAUACCGAAUACGUCCGUAAGGAGAAAGAUUUAUCGCUGAAGGAUCGGCCCGCGUCUGAUUAGCUAGUUGGUGAGGUAAUGGCUCACCAAGGCGACGAUCAGUAGCGGUCUGAGAGGAUGAUCAGCAUCACUGGGACUGAGACACGGCCCAGACUCCUACGGGAGGCAGCAGUGGGGAAUAUUGGACAACGGGCGCAAGCCUGAUCCAGCCAUGCCGCGUGGAUGAUGAAGGCCCUAGGGUUGUAAAGUCCUUUCGGCGGGGGAAGAUAAUGACGGUACCCGCAGAAGAAGCCCCGGNUAACUUCGUGCCAGCCGCCGCGGU